AUACGUAGGGGGCGAGCGUUGUCCGGAAUGAUUGGGCGUAAAGGGCGCGUAGGCGGCGCGGUAAGUCUGGAGUGAAAGUCCUGCUUUCAAGGUGGGAAUUGCUUUGGAUACUGCCGCGCUUGAGUGCAGGAGAGGUUAUCGGAAUUCCCGGUGUAGCGGUGAAAUGCGUAGAGAUCGGGAGGAACACCAGUGGCGAAGGCGGGUAACUGGACUGCAACUGACGCUGAGGCGCGAAAGUGUGGGGAGCAAACAGGAUUAGAUACCCUGGUAGUCCACACUGUAAACGAUGAAUGCUAGGUGUAAGAGGUAUCGACCCCUUUUGUGCCGGAGUUAACACAAUAAGCAUUCCGCCUGGGGAGUACGGCCGCAAGGUUGAAACUCAAAUGAAUUGACAGGG
This 397-nucleotide ribosomal RNA is filed under the name uncultured bacterium. RNAcentral's name for it is "partial 16S ribosomal RNA". It matches the Rfam family "Bacterial small subunit ribosomal RNA", at positions 523 to 918 of the family's 1533-position model. The record is from RNAcentral.